UAUUUAUAUCGUGUUCUAUUCUCAAUUAAUUCACUUGGGCUUUCAAACAUUUUUUUUAUCUUUAAGAGCCCUUAUUUAAAAUCUCUUAAUACCAACCAACCACAACCCAUGAUGCUUUUACUCCAUUAUAAAGGAAACUCUCAGAUUCCAUACAUAGUGUUUUGAAAGGAAUCCAAGAUCUUUACUGGGGACAUACUGUUAAAAAGACAUAAAAUUUAGUGGAAAAAUGUAUCAUGGGGUCGGUACCGAGGGGAUUUUCCCAGCCUACAGAAGUGAAGACUAGCUUGGAGAAAAAAUAGCUCUCUGCUACAUAAUGCAUGUGGUCCCUCCUCCAAUGCAGAUGCACCCUCCAAACUGCCUCCUGUCACUUGCUUAAAUCAUGAAUACUGUACGUGAAUGAUUGUUGCCCAUGUAUGAUUAAAAUGUAUUAUGAGACAUUUUCUCUUACCACUUCCUCCCUCAAAGAUAGCCAAAAGCCCCCAUACAGGCAAGCCCUACAUUUUAGGACUAGAUUGUUUAAGCCUCCCAAGUACAGGAACUCUAUUUCUGCUUUAUUUUUAACUCCCCACAGUGCCCGCUUCUAGAGAGCCUGAAGACAUUCUAUAUGCAAGAGACUUUGAGUAACAGCUAUGGCUCGCUAAGGGCAGGCAGCAGUGAUUAAUGCAUGUCCGGAAUUACUACUGACUUAACAGACUGUCUUCACCACCUUAAGUUGGUGUGUGAAGUUGGCUGUCCUUCCCACUGUUCAGCCAGGGCAAGUUUGUGCCUUAGGGGGCCAAUUCCCUUUGAGUUGCUAUUGAAUGAUCUAUGCCCCCAAGUUAGGCCAGGUUGGAAAGGGUAAGGUCAUAGUUGCGGGACUGCCUUUCCUCUACCAUGAGGAGAUAGAGCAACAAGAGCUUCUGGUCAAUUUACCCCACCCUCUGUUUCCCAGAAGCUAGCUGGGCUCUGGCUGAACUCUAGGGAUACAAGUCUAAACGGGGUAGGUUUUGGAACAUAGCCCUGAGCUGGGUCAUUCCUAGUGCAGGGAAACAUCAGAAUACCUUAGGACCCACACUGGAGAUAUCUUCAUUCUUUAAAUAAAGUGGCUGAGCAUCUGGGCAUGUAAAGUUAAAUCAAACACCAUAUAGCUUCAAAAACCUUAUAGCUUCUAGUCAAGGGACUUAGAUAGAAAUGAAGAAAUGAUCAGAGUACCAUGUGGUAAAGGCAUACUGGAGCUGACUGAAGGGAUGGGGACUGGUGAAGGACAAAGAUGUAGUUCGAGAAGGGAUGCUGGGCUGAGUCUUGAGAGACUUCUGGCUUCAGCACCCAUAGGCAUUCCAGGCUGAGGGAGCAUGAAGCAAGAGAGAGCUUUGAGUAGCUGAAGAACUUCAAGCAGUUAAUUAUAGCUGGAAUGAAGAGUAACAGGUGAGAGGGUGAGAGAAUAGGCUGGAAAGCUGCAUGUAACCGGCCUGGUGUACUGAGCUAAGAAGUUGAAAUUCAUCCAGAAAGGGAGCUGAAUUCAGCUUUACAUAGGCAGAACAAAACCAGCCUUGUAGUUAUGGCAAGGCAUGGGGUUAGGUUCUCUUGGCUUUAGGCCUCCAGCUGUAUGUUGAAUUUGCACAGGGGUAUGCACUAGGUUACCCUAGUCUGGUCCCUCAGUGCACUGGAUUUCACUUUGUUCAGUGCUUCUUGGUGUGGGAAUCAUGUCUCCAGCUCUCUCUGUAUGUGUUCACCCUGUGCCUGCUCAGUGCUGUUCUGGGAAUGGACACCCUGAGCACAGGGGUCAACGAAGGAGUGGAGUUAGUGCUCAGUUCAGUUGGAAGGUGACCAAAUACGAAUGCUGGGUGUGGCAAAUUAAUUUUCAUUGUUAUCACUCCAUAAGCGAAGGAAAUGUAGCCCUUGUUAUUUUCCAACAUAGUCUCCAAUAGAAACAGUUGUUUGUGACACUGAAUUAGUCUGUUAAAAAAUUCAUCACCUGAAAAAUUGCAUCAUAUAUUACUUUAAAAGUAAUGACUGUAGUAGGCAGAAAAGUGCCAACUCCACCCACCCGGAAAUGUCCAUGUCCUCAUCCCUCGAACCUCUGAAUAUGUUACCUCAAGGAGCAAAAGAGACAUUGCAGUUGUCAAUAAACUCAGGAUCUUGAGAUAGGGAGCUAGUCCUGGGUGGUCUGUGUGGUCCCAGAGUGCUUACAAGGUUCCUUAAAAGUAAAAGAGGGAGGCAGGGUCAGAGUGAUUCAAAGAAACCCUCAACGCUAUUGUUGGUUUUGAAGCCUGAAGAGGGCCACCAGCCAAGGGAUGCAGGUGACCUCUAGAAGCUGGAAAAGACAAGGAGAUGGAUUCUCCCCAAGACUCCAAGAAGAACACAGCCCUCCUGACACCUCAAUUUUAGAACAAAUGCUUGGGCCGAAGUCUCCUGAGCAAGGAAUGAUCUGCAGCAGGGGAUGGAACCAGUACAGCAGGACUGUAUCUUCACUUCCCAGAAAAAUGAGUAGGAUUUCUCCGGAAGGCAAGUCCCUCUGAGGAAUAUUACAGCGAAUGAAUCUUCUUUGGUGGUCCAGCCACACCAGCCCUUAUACUUCACAGCGUGAGUGGUAU
Long non-coding RNA from Piliocolobus tephrosceles (Ugandan red Colobus), 2573 nucleotides. RefSeq lists it as uncharacterized. The record is from RefSeq and is a predicted model, not a curated record. The transcript is spliced from 4 exons. Lineage: Eukaryota; Metazoa; Chordata; Mammalia; Primates; Cercopithecidae.